RNAcentral lists this ribosomal RNA (931 nucleotides) under Arthrobacter sp. RNAcentral's name for it is "bacterial SSU rRNA". It matches the Rfam family "Bacterial small subunit ribosomal RNA", at positions 56 to 998 of the family's 1533-position model. RNAcentral also lists the same sequence under 1 other name. The record is from RNAcentral. Lineage: Bacteria; Bacillati; Actinomycetota; Actinomycetes; Micrococcales; Micrococcaceae.
UGCAAGUCGAACGAUGAUCCGGUGCUUGCACCGGGGAUUAGUGGCGAACGGGUGAGUAACACGUGAGUAACCUGCCCUUGACUCUGGGAUAAGCCUGGGAAACCGGGUCUAAUACCGGAUACGACCUGUCACCGCAUGGUGGUGGGUGGAAAGAUUUUUUGGUUUUGGAUGGACUCGCGGCCUAUCAGCUUGUUGGUGAGGUAAUGGCUCACCAAGGCGACGACGGGUAGCCGGCCUGAGAGGGUGACCGGCCACACUGGGACUGAGACACGGCCCAGACUCCUACGGGAGGCAGCAGUGGGGAAUAUUGCACAAUGGGCGAAAGCCUGAUGCAGCGACGCCGCGUGAGGGAUGACGGCCUUCGGGUUGUAAACCUCUUUCAGCAGGGAAGAAGCGAAAGUGACGGUACCUGCAGAAGAAGCGCCGGCUAACUACGUGCCAGCAGCCGCGGUAAUACGUAGGGCGCAAGCGUUGUCCGGAAUUAUUGGGCGUAAAGAGCUCGUAGGCGGUUUGUCGCGUCUGCUGUGAAAGCCCGGGGCUCAACCCCGGGUCUGCAGUGGGUACGGGCAGACUAGAGUGCAGUAGGGGAGACUGGAAUUCCUGGUGUAGCGGUGAAAUGCGCAGAUAUCAGGAGGAACACCGAUGGCGAAGGCAGGUCUCUGGGCUGUAACUGACGCUGAGGAGCGAAAGCAUGGGGAGCGAACAGGAUUAGAUACCCUGGUAGUCCAUGCCGUAAACGUUGGGCACUAGGUGUGGGGGACAUUCCACGUUUUCCGCGCCGUAGCUAACGCAUUAAGUGCCCCGCCUGGGGAGUACGGCCGCAAGGCUAAAACUCAAAGGAAUUGACGGGGGCCCGCACAAGCGGCGGAGCAUGCGGAUUAAUUCGAUGCAACGCGAAGAACCUUACCAAGGCUUGACAUGGACCGGACCG